This 3903-nucleotide long non-coding RNA is filed under the name Homo sapiens (human). RNAcentral's name for it is "HSALNT0074291". Lineage: Eukaryota; Metazoa; Chordata; Mammalia; Primates; Hominidae. The record is from RNAcentral.
CCAGCCUCAAACACCUCAGCUUUGUGAAAGAUGGCAGGUUAGAGUCACAGUGCAAAAGGCCACUGGAUCAAAUACCAAAGCACUGUGACUAACAGGUGACUUUAUGAUGAAUCACAAUGUUUGUAGUUCAGGAGGAUGUCACAGUCAAAUCUCAUGCUUAGUGGAUUCAUCACCAUGUGUGGGGGCAGAAACUACUUCCACUCUUACCUUCCAUACUGCAUAACUGCCAGAUAGACAACUUCUGCCUCACACUUAAGGCCCCAAAGGAACAAGAAUAAAAGCAAUACUUAGAUUAUCAGGAACUACAAUGCCAAUGAAGGAAUGACAACCAUCAUUGUUGUCAACAACAUGUCAACAACAUCAACAAAUAGAAAGCAUUCCUCCAUUCAUCACUCCUUCUGGGAAGAAGUAGACUAAGAGGUAAGAAGCAACUAAUUUUUCAUGGGAUUUGAAACUAAGUAGGUGAAUCUGAAGUCUGCGCUGCUUCCAUUCCAUCCCAUUGUCUCUUCUGAGGGAGAAAGCUUCUAAGGGAGAAAGCCUUUGGGGCUUGGAACAAAAGAAGCCAGAGUCUUUAGAGUACACACUCCGUACUUCCAUUAAAUAAAUUUCAACAACAGGUCAAAGCAUGUAUCUUGCAACCUUCUUUGAAUAAGGCUCAGUGCAAAGCUGGGGCCAGUGACCUUGACCUUCCUUCAUCCCUAUCUAUCAAGGAUUUUUUGUGAGCAUAAGAGGCAGCAACUUUACUUGUAUUUCAUUUCAUAGCUUAAUUAUAUCUACAUGCAAUUAGAAAACAUAUGGUAAGGCAUAUUUGUGAAGGUCACAAAAUCUAGUAGAGCUGGAAUGCCAGGAUUUGAUUCCAACUUCUGCCACUUACUAACUGCGGAACCUUAGGCAAGUCACUGAACCCCUAAGUUUCCUCAGCUGUAAAACAAUAAUAAACAGAGUCUACAGGUCACAGAUUUCUAUGAGAAUUAAAUUAGUUAACAAAAUAAAGCACUAAGAACUGUGCCUGGUACAUAAAAUAUACUGCAUGAGGGUUAGCUAUCACCACAAUAAGUAGGCAAGUUACCAACACCUUAAACGCUGAGUUAGAACAAAUCUAAAAACUCUAUGCUGGCCAGGCGCGAUGGCUCACACCUGUAAUCCCAGCACUUUGGGAGGCCAAGGUGGGCAGAUCACCUGAGGUCAGGAGUUCUAGACCAGCCUGGCCAACAUGGUGCAACCCCAUCUCUACUAAAAAUACAAAAAUUAGCAGGGUGUGGUGGUGGGCGCCCGUAAUCCCAGUUACUCAGGAGGCAGAGGCAGGAGAAUCGCUUGAGCCCACAAGGCAGAGGUUGCAGUGAGCUGAGAUCACACUACGGCACUCCAGCCUAGGCAACAGACAGAGCAAAACUCCAUCUCAAAAAUAAAUUAACAAACAAACAAAAACUGUAUAUUUAAGACCUACCUUUACUUAUUGAAGGAGGCCACUUCAAAAUGGUAAUGCUCCUUUCCUGUCUAGGUUCCCCAUACUUAGGGUACCCCAGACCCACCAAACCACACAGUGCCAGGCCUCUUUGUCUCCUAUAAUCUAUUCCUCCUUAAAAACCCAGCUAGAGAUUUUCUCUUCUACCCUACCAAGUAAAGAAUGUGCCCGCUUUCCUUUGCAUGCCUAUCUCUUAGAAUAUUAAUCCCAUAAAUUAUAAUUUCCCCAAAGAGACACUGAUCUUCAAGGGUAUGACUGUGUUUUUCUUAUUACUUAAUACCUAGAACUGUAUUUUGCACAUAUUAGAAACUUGACAAAAUUAAGAAACCCAAAGGACAUUCAAAUUCUUUCUCCCAAUUUAAAAAUUAUGGGUACAGGGACAAGAGUGGAGUUGGAAAACGUCAGUCACCCUAAUAAACAAGGCACAUUUAAUAAACAGGAUACGCAUCUCUAUUUUCUUCCCCAUCCCCAGAUAAUUGUUUUUGAGUGAUGAACCAAAAAAAAAAAAACCUAAUAAAUGCACAAGUUUAUAAUUUGAGAAACUAGCGUGACAAAAAUGAGGUCAUCCCAUGGAUGUCAUAAAAUAAGCAUGACUUUCUUCUCUCAAUUCUUUUACUUAUUGCCCAUAUAAUUAAAUACAGUUGUAAUUUAAUUCUGUUGGCUGUUAUUUCAUGCUCACAACAAAACAUUUCUCUCUCUCUCUUCCUUAAGUUUGUGUAGAUGAUUUUAUUCCCAUGAGCAUCAAAGAGCAGGGUUUAACAAUGAAAUGUUGAAAACAAUCAAAACUUACAAAGAAGUUUAUCUGACACACUCAAUGACAGGCAUAAUUAUCAUUGUGUUGCAUGGUAAUUAGGUAUAAAAGGCAAACAGUUCCUUUAAAUGUCUCUAAUUAGUACUGCUCUUAAAUCUUCAAACCAAGUAGUUGAGGAGUCAGCGGCAGGGAAACCUGCUCCUAUAACACAAUGCUCCUCAAUGGUGGCUUCAUAUGAGAAUCAGCAGGGGAGCUUUUAAUAUACAUAUAUAUAUAUACGCACCUAUAAUCCAUAUGCCCAGGGCUCUUGCCUCAAAUCAAUUUAGUUAGAAUACCUGGGGGUUAGACCCAGGCAUCAGUACUUCUUAUUACAGGUGAUUACAAUGUAAACUUAAGAUUAAGGAUUACAGCUGUAAACAACAACAUGGAAGAGAGUUGAAGUUGUCCCUUCCCUCUAUAUUUCCACAGCACUAGGAACAUGCUCUACUGAAGGCUCAUCAAUUAAUCAAUCAAUUAGGUAAUUAACAAGUAUUGAUUAACAAUGAUCAAUUAAUGUUUGUUACAAGAAUUUGACAUAGCUUGUUCUCUUCUGCAAUAUAAUACACAAGUGAGAAAAUCCCUACUCUCCUCUCCCUCCUCCCAGCAUUCUGUCUGGAACCUGAAACGUGGCCUGGCACCUAGAAACAUGCUGUCAAGUUAGCCUCAGUGUGUGAACUUUUUUUUAAUUUUAAUAAAAUAUACAUAACAUAAAAUGUAUCAUUUUAACCAUUUAUAAGUGAACAGUUUAGUAGCAAUAAGUAUAUUCUCAUUGUUUUACAACCAUCACCACCAUCUAUCUCCAGAAUCUUCCCAAACUGGAACUCUGUACCUAUUAUAUAUUCCCUGGGUCUCCUCACCCCUCCUGCUCCUGGCAAUCUCCAUUCUAAUUUCUGUCUCGAUGAAUUUGACGAUUCGAGGUACCUCAUAUAAAUGGAAUCCUGCAUUUGUCUUUUUAAGUCUGGCUAAUGUCUGCAAGCUUCAUUCCUGCUGUAGUAUGUGUCAGAGUUCCUCUGUAAGGCUGAAUAAUAUCCCAUUGCAUGUAUAUACUACAUUUUGUUUCUCCAUUCAUCUGUUGACGGACACGGGGUUGUUUCUGCUUUUUGGCUACUAUGAAUAACACUGCUAUAAGCAUGGAUGUACAAGAUUUUUUAUGCAUGGCUUUACCUACCCGGCAUAGCCAAUAUUCCUAAACAGGAAUCUCACACCAGAGAAGCAAAAGGCUUGGUGAAUGAGGAGUGAGGACCUGUGACUUGCUCCUCAUCAACAAAACACAGCAAUGAUGACGGAAGGCCAUUCCUGGGUAGGUUAUAUAAGACUUCAUCUUAGUUAACUGUAAAGGGCUUAUCCAGCUGAGUCUGAAGAAGUAAGCUGCCAUGCUAUGAGAGGGCCUGUGAGAGGGACGCAAGGCAGGAACUCUAGGCAGCCUCUAGGAGCUGAGAGCAGCCCCAGCUGACAGCUAGCAAGAAAAUGGGGACCUCAGCCCUACAACCACAAGGAAUUGAAUUUGGCCAACAAUCACGUAAGCUGGGAAGAGGACCUCUUCCUGUAGAAAGCUCUAGAAAUGAACACGGCCAGUUGACCCUUUGACUGCAGCCUUGUGGCUGACGUCAGAGAAGAUGACUUAAAUAAGUCACACCUGGACUCUUGG